Molecule: transfer RNA, 67 nt
Filed under: Darevskia rudis
Lineage: Eukaryota; Metazoa; Chordata; Lepidosauria; Squamata; Lacertidae
Description: tRNA-Arg
Source: RNAcentral
AAGGGGUUAGUCUAAUAAAGACCACUAAUUUCGACUUAGUAGAUUCUGAUCAAACCAGAACCCCUAA